This is a long non-coding RNA of Lolium rigidum, 584 nucleotides long. RefSeq lists it as uncharacterized. The transcript is spliced from 3 exons. NCBI's taxonomy places the organism in Eukaryota, Viridiplantae, Streptophyta, Magnoliopsida, Poales, Poaceae. The record is from RefSeq and is a predicted model, not a curated record.
UGAAUGGGAGGUUUAGAACUCUUCGGUCCUUUUUCACUUGGCAAAGCCCCAACCCAGUGUCGGCGUACACUCGGUUCAGCUGAUCGAAAAAUCUCUUUGCUACUCACAAGAGCUAUAGCAGUAGGGGAAGUAAUGGUGUAUGAUGCUGAAGAGGACGAAUUUGAGGUAGAUGGGGAUAUCACACAGAAUUGAAGCGUGGCGAUGGGGGUUGUCCCGUUAACCUGUGCACCUACUACUUGCUCAGUGGCCACGCCCCCGCACUGGUCGUGCUACUCUGGAACUUCACCGUGAAACGGCAGAUGGUGCUAUCUAUUAUGUUUUCAGAAGAACUGGAAUGAAGGAGCUGACGUAAUGCAUUUCUUUAUAUUCUUCUUAGCUUCAUACUCAGGAUUCUCAACCUUUGGGAAAGAUAGCUAGAGCUGCAGAUUUGCAAUUAGUUUCUUACAAAAUGUACUGUACAAGCAGAUACAUGACUAACUUUAGUUCAGUUUCUGACUAUGUAGAUUUCAGUUGUUUGGGACUAUGACAAACUUAAAGCAAUUGCUGUACAUGUAAUUUUUCUGUUGAUUCAUGGUAUCUGUUCA